Molecule: ribosomal RNA, 274 nt
Filed under: uncultured bacterium
Lineage: Bacteria
Description: partial 16S ribosomal RNA
Rfam family: Bacterial small subunit ribosomal RNA
Source: RNAcentral
AUACGGAGGGUGCAAGCGUUAUCCGGAUUCAUUGGGUUUAAAGGGUGCGCAGGCGGAUUAUUAAGUCAGUGGUGAAAUCCCGGGGCUCAACCUCGGAACUGCCAUUGAUACUGGUAAUCUAGAAUACGGUUGAAGUGGGCGGAAUGUAGCAUGUAGCGGUGAAAUGCAUAGAGAUGCUACAGAACACCGAUCGCGAAGGCAGCUCACUAAGCCGAUAUUGACGCUCAGGCACGAAAGCGUGGGGAGCGAACAGGAUUAGAUACCCCUGUAGUCC